Molecule: long non-coding RNA, 139 nt
Organism: Cervus elaphus (red deer)
Lineage: Eukaryota; Metazoa; Chordata; Mammalia; Artiodactyla; Cervidae
Exons: 3
Source: RefSeq, a predicted model, not a curated record
CUUGACUAGAUGGACCUUUGUUGACAAAGUAAUUAAUGACACUGCUUUUUAAUAUGCUGUCUAGGUUGGUCAUAGUUUUUCUUCCAAGGAGCAAGCAUCUUUUAAUUUCAUGGCUACAUUUACCAUCAGCAGUGAUUUU